This 329-nucleotide unclassified non-coding RNA is filed under the name soil metagenome. RNAcentral describes it as "partial contains 5.8S ribosomal RNA, internal transcribed spacer 2, and large subunit ribosomal RNA". The stretch from base 1 to 120 matches the Rfam family "5.8S ribosomal RNA", at positions 35 to 154 of the family's 154-position model. The record is from RNAcentral.
GAUGAAGAACGUAGCGAAAUGCGAUAAGUAGUGUGAAUUGCAGAAUUCAGUGAAUCAUCGAAUCUUUGAACGCACAUUGCGCCCCUUGGUAUCCCGAGGGGCAUGCCUGUUCGAGCGUCAUUUCACCACUCAAGCCUGGCUUGGUGUUGGGCGACGUCCUCUUUGGGGACGCGCCUCGAAACGCUCGGCGGCGUGGCACCGGCUUUAAGCGUAGCAGAAUCUUUCGCUUUGGAAGUCGGGGCCCCGUCUGCCGGAAGACCUGCUCGCAAGGUUGACCUCGGAUCAGGCAGGGAUACACGCUGAACUUAAGCAUAUCAAUAAGCGGAGGA